GAUGAACGCUGGCGGCGUGCUUAACACAUGCAAGUCGAACGGUGAACACGGAGCUUGCUCUGUGGGAUCAGUGGCGAACGGGUGAGUAACACGUGAGCAACCUGCGCCUGACUGUGGGAUAAGCGCUGGAAACGGCGUCUAAUAAUGGAUAUGUGACGUGACCGCAUGGUCUGCGUUUGGAAAGAUUUUUCGGUUGGGGAUGGGCUCGCGGCCUAGCAGCUUGUUGGUGAGGUAAUGGCUCACCACGGCGUCGACGGGUAGCCGGCCUGAGGGGGUGACCGGCCACACUGGGACUGAGACACCGCCCAGACUCCUACGGGAGGCAGCAGUGGGGAAUAUUGCACAAUGGGCGCAAGCCUGAUGCAGCAACGCCGCGUGAGGGAUGACGGCCUUCGGGUUGUAAACCUCUUUUAGCAGGGAAGAAGCGAAAGUGACGGUACCUGCAGAAAAAGCGCCGGCUAACUACGUG
Molecule: ribosomal RNA, 469 nt
Filed under: uncultured bacterium
Lineage: Bacteria
Description: partial 16S ribosomal RNA
Rfam family: Bacterial small subunit ribosomal RNA
Source: RNAcentral